This 497-nucleotide ribosomal RNA is filed under the name uncultured bacterium. RNAcentral's name for it is "partial 16S ribosomal RNA". It matches the Rfam family "Bacterial small subunit ribosomal RNA", at positions 28 to 507 of the family's 1533-position model. The record is from RNAcentral.
GAUGAACGCUGGCGGCGUGCCUAAUACAUGCAAGUCGAGCGAACAGAUAAGGAGCUUGCUCCUUUGAAGUUAGCGGCGGACGGGUGAGUAACACGUGGGUAACCUACCUAUAAGACUGGGAUAACUUCGGGAAACCGGAGCUAAUACCGGAUAACAUUUAGAACCGCAUGGUUCUAAAGUGAAAGAUGGUUUUGCUAUCACUUAUAGAUGGACCCGCGCCGUAUUAGCUAGUUGGUAAGGUAACGGCUUACCAAGGCAACGAUACGUAGCCGACCUGAGAGGGUGAUCGGCCACACUGGAACUGAGACACGGUCCAGACUCCUACGGGAGGCAGCAGUAGGGAAUCUUCCGCAAUGGGCGAAAGCCUGACGGAGCAACGCCGCGUGAGUGAUGAAGGGUUUCGGAUCGUAAAACUCUGUUAUUAGGGAAGAACAAAUGUGUAAGUAACUGUGCACAUCUUGACGGUACCUAAUCAGAAAGCCACGGCUAACUACGUG